AGGGCUGGUGGUGUCCCCUGACUUGUUCCUCUCCUGACUUUCUCAGCCUGGAGACUGAAAGCUCUCUUUGGCUGUUGGCCCUCCCAGGCAGAGUCCACUGGCUGUUAGGGUGAAAUGGGGCUGAUGCUUCCUGGAAUCCACCAGAAGUAUGCAAAUUGCACCAUCUCUUUCAGCUGCCUGCGCCUGCAUUCCAUCGAGGAUUCCGGGUGGAACUAAUCAAAAGAUACAUCUUUCUAAGAAGAGGAGAGGACACAGAGAGACACACAGAGAAGGUGAUGACAAUGAUGAGAAGACGGAGGCGGAGAUUGGAGUGAUGAUGCAUCUACAAGCCAGGGAACAUCAAGGACUGCCAGCAACCACCAGAAGCCAGGAGAGAGGCAUGAGACAGUUCUUCCUCCUAUCCUUCAGAAGAAAUCAACUCUACUGACACCAUGAUUUUGGAUUUUGGCCUCCUAAAAUGUGAGAAAAUAAAUUUCUGUUGUCUUAAGC
Molecule: long non-coding RNA, 489 nt
Filed under: Homo sapiens (human)
Lineage: Eukaryota; Metazoa; Chordata; Mammalia; Primates; Hominidae
Description: HSALNT0294695
Source: RNAcentral